Molecule: ribosomal RNA, 570 nt
Filed under: uncultured bacterium
Lineage: Bacteria
Description: bacterial SSU rRNA
Rfam family: Bacterial small subunit ribosomal RNA
Source: RNAcentral
CAGGUCACUCCUACGGGAGGCAGCAGUAGGGAAUAUUGCACAAUGGGCGAAAGCCUGAUGCAGCAACGCCGCGUGUGCGAUGAAGGCCUUAGGGUUGUAAAGCUCUUUCGGCGGGGACGAUGGUGACGGUACCCGGAGAAGAAGCUGCGGCUAACUACGUGCCAGCAGCCGCGGUAAUACGUAGGCAGCAAGCGUUGUCCGGAUUUACUGGGCGUAAAGAGCGCGUAGGCGGAAGCGCCAGUCCGGCCUGAAAGCCCCCGGCUCAACCGGGGAAGGUGGCUGGAAACUGUGCUUCUUGAGGGCGAUAGAGGAGAGCGGAAUUCCUGGUGUAGCGGUGAAAUGCGUAGAUAUCAGGAGGAACACCUGUGGUGUAGACGGCUCUCUGGACAGUAACUGACGCUGAGACACGAAAGCGUGGGGAGCAAACCGGAUUAGAUACCCGGGUAGUCCACGCCGUAAACGAUGAGUACUAGGUGUAGGGGGUAUCGACCCCCUCUGUGCCGAAGCUAACGCGAUAAGUACUCCGCCUGGGGACUACGGCCGCAAGGCUAAAACUCAAAGGAAUUGACG